GCAGAACGCGAAGAACCUUACCAAGGCUUGACAUGGAUUUCUAAGCGCGUGAAAGCGCGUGACCCUUCGGGGGACUUCCACAGGUGCUGCAUGGCCGUCGUCAGCUCGUGUCGUGAGAUGUUGGGUUAAGUCCCGCAACGAGCGCAACCCUUGUGACUAGUUGCCAGCGCGUCAUGGCGGGAACUCUAGUCAGACUGCCCAGAUCAACUGGGAGGAAGGUGGGGACGACGUCAGGUCAGUAUGGCCCUUACGCCUUGGGCUGCACACGUACUACAAUGCCCAGCACAAUGAGAACCGAUGCCGCGAGGUGGAGGAAAUCUGGAAAACUGGGCCCAGUUCGGAUUGGAGGCUGCAACUCGCCUCCAUGAAGUUGGAAUCGCUAGUAAUGGCGCAUCAUCCACGGCGCCGUGAAUACGUUCCCGGGUCUUGUACACACCG
Molecule: ribosomal RNA, 438 nt
Filed under: uncultured bacterium
Lineage: Bacteria
Description: bacterial SSU rRNA
Rfam family: Bacterial small subunit ribosomal RNA
Source: RNAcentral